Molecule: long non-coding RNA, 1379 nt
Organism: Ochotona princeps (American pika)
Lineage: Eukaryota; Metazoa; Chordata; Mammalia; Lagomorpha; Ochotonidae
Exons: 2
Source: RefSeq, a predicted model, not a curated record
GCUUAAAGAAGGGCCGACAAGCAGUGCACCCAAGGGUCCCUUGCGAUCCCAGCCCCUGAGGCCUCUCACUGAGUGUUGCUGCCACUUUAUUUUAUUUCCAUUUGGGUCACCAGGUCUCCCGUGUUUGUGUAUGCCAUUGGGAAACCAUAGCAGUGGUCUUGGGGUCUGAAAGCCAUGCUGCCUUGGGUGUCUGGGUUUAGAGGGGUGUGCGCUACAGUUCUCUCUUGGGGAUGGAGCUGGGACGAUCUGUCGGGAUUAGGCGUUUUGUCGAGACCCUGUGGCCUGGAGCCAAAAGGUGGAGCUGGCUGCAAAGCGCCUGGUGUGAGGCCCAGAGCCAGGGAGUCUCAAGAUGACCAAGGCUGCAAGAUGCACAAGCAAACCCUGAUUUUCAGCCCUGCUUUGCAAAGGCUCUGCUGCUCCUUCUCAGGCAUAACCACCUUUGAAUGCAAGCAGACAAAUGAGUUGCAUGGAAGCAUGGAGGGUCUGUCACCACUGUUUCUGUCCCCUCCUUCACCCAUGUGAGAACUGAUAUGUGACGAGUGCAGGUGUGCAUGGCCAGGGCAGGGUCCAGUCCUUGGGUCCUCAGGCAAAGAGGCAAACCAGACAAAUGCCAGAGUGGCUAGGUUUGACCCGGCUAGCUAAGACAGCCAGAAAUACACUAUGACCAGCGGUUGCUCCAUGCCAUCUGAGGACACUGUGUGGCCAGUCUAUUUUUUUCUAUAAAUCCAGACAUUAAAUUUUUAAGUCACUGAAUGAUACUUCAAAUUGCCUUUCCCUUGUACACCUCAGGGCCCUACUAGACCCUUAAUUUGUCAUAUUUUGAGAGUGGAUAUACCUAUUUAUUUAUGUUUUUGCUGGUCAGGGUAUUUAUCUUAGGAACAAUUAAAUGAUUGAAAUAGCAUGGUGAUUUCACUGGGUUACGUCUGAGUUGUAGAUAGAUGUUCUUUCCAAAAAGCUGGGUGUGUGUGUUCUAACUGAACUGGAUGAUAUUUUCCCCCCACUUGGUUAUUUUCUCUAUUUAUUUUGAAUUUGGGAAAAUAGUUUUAGAAUUCAGCUGUGAUUUUAUAUGUUUACCUUGGCAUGGGUGACUGUGGGAAGUGGGGACAUUUUGUUUCCCUUGAUUUGGGUGAGCAAAGCAUUGACACCAGAAGUCUGGGGCACCCCAGGAGGCGUGCAUAGGGCGUUAGUGAGGGGCAGGAGUCGUGUCGGGAGCCGUGAGCCCAGCACCCCGAGGCGGGCCUCCUUUGGACUUUCCGUCUCAGGCGUAUGUUCACUCCAAGCCUCCCUGUCAGUUCCGGAAGUCUGGUCUGCACUGUUGUGUCCUGACUUCAAGGUGCCUGUUUGGGUCUUUCCCAUGGAAAUAAAGUGGCAGAAAUGGA